Molecule: ribosomal RNA, 250 nt
Filed under: uncultured bacterium
Lineage: Bacteria
Description: partial 16S ribosomal RNA
Rfam family: Bacterial small subunit ribosomal RNA
Source: RNAcentral
UACGUAGGUGGCAAGCGUUAUCCGGAUUUACUGGGUGUAAAGGGCGUGUAGGCGGGAAUGCAAGUCAGAUGUGAAAACUAUGGGCUCAACUCAUAGCCUGCAUUUGAAACUGUGUUUCUUGAGUACUGGAGAGGCAGGCGGAAUUCCGUGUGUAGCGGUGAAAUGCGUAGAUAUACGGAGGAACACCAGUGGCGAAGGCGGCCUGCUGGACAGCAACUGACGCUGAGGCGCGAAAGCGUGGGGAGCAAAC